This 340-nucleotide ribosomal RNA is filed under the name uncultured Acidobacteriota bacterium. RNAcentral describes it as "bacterial SSU rRNA". It matches the Rfam family "Bacterial small subunit ribosomal RNA", at positions 16 to 350 of the family's 1533-position model. Lineage: Bacteria; Pseudomonadati; Acidobacteriota. The record is from RNAcentral.
AUCCUGGCUCAGAAUCAACGCUGGCGGCGUGCCUAACACAUGCAAGUCGAACGAGAAAGUCCCGCAAGGGAUGAGUAAAGUGGCGUACGGGUGAGUAACACGUAGCUAACCUACCCUCGAGUGGGGGAUAACCUGGGGAAACUCGGGCUAAUACCGCAUAACAUCCGGAUGGCAUAUGUCGUCCGGAGCAAAGGUCCGCAAGGAUCGCUGGAGGAGGGGGCUGCGGCCGAUUAGCUAGUUGGUGAGGUAACGGCCCACCAAGGCGAUGAUCGGUAGCCGGCCUGAGAGGGCGCACGGCCACACUGGCACUGAAACACGGGCCAGACUCCUACGGGAGGCA